GGUCAAAAGCAGGACCAGUUCAGCUCUGUAGAGUGGUCAAAAGCAGGACCAGGGCAGCUCUGUAGAGUGGUCAAUAGCAGGACCAGGGCAGCUCUGUAGAGUGGUCAAUAGCAGGACCAGGGCAGCUCUGUAGAGUGGUCAAUAGCAGGACCAAGGCAGCUCUGUAGAGUGGUCAAUAGCAGGACCAGGGCAGCUCUGUAGAGUGGUCAAUAGCAGGACCAGGGCAGCUCUGUAGGAUGGUCAAUAGCAGAACCAGGGCAGCUCUGUAGGAUGGUCAAUAGCAGAACCAGGGCAGCUCUGUAGAGUGGUCAAUAGCAGAACCAGGGCAGCUCUGUAGGAUGGUCAAUAGCAGAACCAGGGCAGCUCUGUAGGAUGGUCAAUAGCAGAACCAGGCACAAAGUCAUAAAAACACAUUUUUGUUUUAAAUUCUGACUUUGCAGCUGGCCUAUCUAAGGGGAAAAUCAUUCAUUUCUGCCUCCAGGACAAGACUCAGCACAAUAAAUGUCAACCUGCAUAAUGACACAGAUCAGUCCUAAUUCUCUCUCUCUGUUUUGGUAUUAACCAGCAGCGUUAGGGAGAGGCCAAACUGACCCGAUGAUUUCAUCCAUGUGUAGGAUUUCCAAUGCUUUCUCAGUGGGAGUCCUAUGGUGACAGUCAGCGAAGAGGACACGUCCUCAUCCAUACAAUUUACAUCCAUUUUCACGGACGAAAAGUUUAUAUGACUGAAACUUUUGACGGGCCAAUGGAAUGUAUUAUUAUAAUGGAAUGCGUUUAGUCCAAUGGAAUGUGUUUAGCAUAAUGGAAUAUAUCAAAUCAAAUUUUAUUUGUCACAUACACAUGGUUAGCAGAUGUUAAUGCGAGUGUAGCGAAAUGCUUGUGCUUCUAGUUCCGACAAUGCAGUAAUAACCAACAAGUAAUCUAACUAACAAUUUCAAAACUACUGUCUUAUACACAGUGUAAGGGGAUAAAGAAUAUGUACAUAAGGAUAUAUGAAUGAGUGAUGGUACAGAGCAGCAUAGGCAAGAUACAGUAGAUGGUAUCGAGUACAGUAUAUACAUAUGAGAUGAGUAUGUAAACAAAGUGGCAUAGUUAAAGUGGC
Oncorhynchus tshawytscha (Chinook salmon) is the source of this 1099-nucleotide long non-coding RNA. Lineage: Eukaryota; Metazoa; Chordata; Actinopteri; Salmoniformes; Salmonidae. The record is from Ensembl.